AGCGAACGCUGGCGGCAGGCUUAACACAUGCAAGUCGAGCGGGCGUAGCAAUACGUCAGCGGCAGACGGGUGAGUAACGCGUGGGAACAUACCUCUUGGUUCGGAACAACACAGGGAAACUUGUGCUAAUACCGGAUAAGCCCUUACGGGGAAAGAUUUAUCGCCGAGAGAUUGGCCCGCGUCUGAUUAGCUAGUUGGUAGGGUAAUGGCCUACCAAGGCGACGAUCAGUAGCUGGUCUGAGAGGAUGAUCAGCCACAUUGGGACUGAGACACGGCCCAAACUCCUACGGGAGGCAGCAGUGGGGAAUGUUGGACAAUGGGGGCAACCCUGAUCCAGCCAUGCCGCGUGAGUGAUGAAGGCCCUAGGGAAGNAAAUGUAUUACCGCGGCAACGGGACUGC
This 400-nucleotide ribosomal RNA is filed under the name bacterium Ellin6553. RNAcentral describes it as "bacterial SSU rRNA". It matches the Rfam family "Bacterial small subunit ribosomal RNA", at positions 29 to 454 of the family's 1533-position model. The record is from RNAcentral.